This 69-nucleotide transfer RNA is filed under the name Cricetulus griseus (Chinese hamster). It matches the Rfam family "tRNA". Rfam says of the family: Transfer RNA (tRNA) molecules are approximately 80 nucleotides in length. Their secondary structure includes four short double-helical elements and three loops (D, anti-codon, and T loops). Lineage: Eukaryota; Metazoa; Chordata; Mammalia; Rodentia; Cricetidae. The record is from Rfam by way of RNAcentral.
GGCUAGCUCAGUCAGUAUAGCAUGAGACUCUUAAUCCCAGAGUUAUGGGUUCAUACCCCAUGUUGGCUG